RNAcentral lists this transfer RNA (68 nucleotides) under Nautilus pompilius. RNAcentral's name for it is "tRNA-Ser". The record is from RNAcentral. Lineage: Eukaryota; Metazoa; Mollusca; Cephalopoda; Nautilida; Nautilidae.
AGCCAUUACUAAAGGUUAGGGUUUGUUUUGAAAGCAGAUGUGGAGGUGUUCGAGUCGCUUAAUGGUUU